Molecule: ribosomal RNA, 119 nt
Filed under: Pteropus alecto (black flying fox)
Lineage: Eukaryota; Metazoa; Chordata; Mammalia; Chiroptera; Pteropodidae
Source: RNAcentral
GUCUAUGGCCAUGCUACCCUGAACAAGCCUGAUCCUGUCUGAUCUUGGAAGCUAAGCAGGGUCGGGCCUGGUUAAUACUUGGAUGGGAGACCACCUAAGAAGACCAGGUGCUGUAGGCA